This 373-nucleotide ribosomal RNA is filed under the name Conus tulipa (tulip cone). Its description in RNAcentral is "partial 16S ribosomal RNA". It matches the Rfam family "Bacterial large subunit ribosomal RNA", at positions 1966 to 2551 of the family's 2925-position model. The record is from RNAcentral. Lineage: Eukaryota; Metazoa; Mollusca; Gastropoda; Neogastropoda; Conidae.
CAUUUGCCUUAUAAUUGAAGGCUGGAAUGAAUGGUUUGACAAGAGUAUAGCUGUCUCUUUUGAAUUAUUUAGAACUUUAUUUUUGGAUGAAAAAGUCCAGAUAAUAAAAAAAGACAAGGAGACCCUAUCGAGCUUUAGAAAAUUAAUAGAUGUAAUACGAGUCAAUAUAAGUAAAAGAAAAACUAUUAAAUAUUUUGGUUGGGGCAACCGAGGAGCAUUUAAAGCCUCCUUUAAUUUGAAAGUCUGACUUGUGUUGAUCCAAAUUUUUUGAUCAAAGGAAUUAGUUACCGUAGGGAUAACAGCAUUAUCUUUUUUAAGAGCCCAUAUCGAAAAAAAGGUUUGUGACCUCGAUGUUGGACCAGAAUAUCCUAAU